This is an RNA transcript of Bactrocera neohumeralis, 12050 nucleotides long. RefSeq lists it as uncharacterized. Lineage: Eukaryota; Metazoa; Arthropoda; Insecta; Diptera; Tephritidae. The record is from RefSeq and is a predicted model, not a curated record. The transcript has 6 exons.
UCUAAUUUAAAGUAUAUAUUGAACUGAAAUCACAAUUUUAUUUUAAGUACACAAUUUUAAUUACUAAAAUUCCAUUCUUCGGACUUUCUGUUCAGCAAAAGUGUUAAUGACAUCAUGAAAGUUCAAAUUUCGGGCCAUAGAAUUUUCGAUGGAUAGAAUAGCCAAAUUGCUUAACCUUUCUUGUCCCAUAGAAUUUCUUAAAUAAGUUUUUAUCAAUUUCAGUUUUGAAAAUGAUCGCUCGGCACUAGCCGUAGUUACAGGAAUGGUGAGAAACAACAGAAAUGCAGUGCACACUUCAGGAAAGCUUGAAGAUAUAAAAUGAUUCUUUAUUAUUAAUAAGUCAGCAAGUUCUCUUAUAGAUGGUGACCUUUCUAUUUCGUGUUUAAAAGAGGAUCGAAAACUGAGAAUUUCUUUGGAAAACGACAUAGAUAUAUCUUUUUUAUAUAAAUGGACAAAUGCUAAAGCCUUUUCCAAUAAAUCAGUAUCGUUCAAGUUUUGCAAAGUGGCAGGCUGCAAGACACUAAAAUUGGAAACAAUUUCAUUCAUUCCAAGCAAACGCGAUCUAAGUUGAUUAAUGAUGAUGUCUAAUACACGAUAGAAUACGUUCACUUUAAACAAGCUUUCAGGAUCUUGGAGACGUUCAUCCUCACAAAUUUCAUCAAAAUGACGUUUCACUUUUCUCUGACGAGCUUCAGGAAAUUCAGGGUUUAUAGACCAUUUAACUGCAAUACUAUUUGCUUCCGUUUUUAAAUCUUCAAAUUCAUGUCGAUACUUUUCAAGUUCUUCUAGACAGACUUGCUUUGAAGCAUUUGAAAGAUCGAUGGCUUUAGAUUGAAGUGCUUUAGAAGCCGCGUCUAUGGUUUGUAAGACUUUGCAAUGGAAAACCAGCAACAUAAUAAAAUUGUAGUUCUCUACCUUCUUCUUUAGCAAGAUAGCUUCAUUUAUCUCAUCUGAUUUGGAAUUUGAUAAAAUGGUUUUUGUUAGCGCUUUUUGAACAUCAACAAAUCGAACAUUUAAAGCAAACAUGGCAUCAAAGCGUCCUGCCCAUCUAGUUGGAUUCAUUGUUUUUAAUGUUACUGAAUUUUAUGAUAAAACGGUUUCUCCUUUUUUGUUGGCAGAUAUAAAACUAGAUAAUAUUUUCCGUCGUCUAAUACUAUGGCCAAAAAAAUUAUAAAUUUGUUGCACAGUUUCGAAUAAUGUUUGUAUUUCUAUGACCUCUUACUGCAUCAUUUACUACCAAGUUUAAAUUAUGAGCAGCACAAUGGACAUACACUGCAUUUGGCUCUAUAUCUCUUAUGAGUUUUUGAACUCCGCCAUAAGUACCUUUCAUGGUAUUGCUCCAUCGUACCCUUGUCCACGGCACUUAUUCAGAGAAAUACUUUUGUCAUUUAUGGAUUUUAUUAUCUGCUUGGACAUUGCUAAGGCAAUUUGAUCCUUAACCUCAUGAAAUCCUAAAAAUGACUCUUUAAUUACGAGCGCCUUUGAAGUUCCAUUUUCAUCUUUCUCGAUUAAGGUUGGUACGCAGCUCUCAAGUAAUUGCUCAAGAAAAAACAUACAUUAUUUCUCAAGUAAUUUUGACAGCUGGUUACGCAUUGUGAUUACACAUUACAUUAGAAGAGCAAGAGAGAAUAAACAAAGAAAACAAACUUUGUGCGUAAUAUGUAUGUGUGUAUGUGUAUGGUAAUAUAAAUAUUUUCAUUGAGAUUUAAGAAAUGUUGUUGAUGAUUGAUAGGUUUUAUACAACAUUUCAAAUUGGAAUAUACAUAUACAUAUACAUAUAUAUACUUCAAAAUAAUGAUUUCAACUAAUUUAGGAUGAAUUUGACGAUUACUUCGAAUUUCCUUCAAGAAACAAUUGUUGAUUUGAUGUUUCUUCGCAAAACCAGGUUUGCCAUAUUCACAUUUUACUGAAAAAAGUAUCAAAAAUUAGUACUAGAUUUCUUGAGAGCUGCGUACUAGCAGAAGUAAAUUUACCGCAGGAAAGUUUCUUGACCGUUUCUUAAGCGUUUAUUUAUAUGAAGUUUUUACGUUUCUUGAGAACUGCGUACUAAGCUUUACACAGUAACGGUAAAGUUCACACAAUUGAUCUGUUUUGGAAAUAUCUUGAGUAGUAUCAAACAAAAUGGAAUAAAACGGUGCAGUGACUAUUUCAUUUACCAGAGCAUUUUCCACUUUUUGAACCAGAACAGCAAUGAACUCAUUUUGUAUUUUUGGACUUAAGUAUUUAAUCUGGCCCUUAGAUUUGUUUAGCAACUCUUGUAAAAUAGGAUCGUAUUUGGCUAAUAACUCAACAAUACUCAAAAAAUUUCCUUUUGGACCAGAAUCGUUGCCAUAUACCGUUUCUUUAUGGCCACGAAAAGCUAAAUUACAGGUUGAAAGUGUCAAAGUAACAUCAAGGAGUAUAGGGAGUACCUGGCGCCAAAAAAAUUUUUCUCUCUUGAUAAUGACUCUUGCUCUUCAUCUAAUGUUCCAUGUAACUGCCCCUCUUGAUGUACAAAACAUGAAUGCAAAAGUUCUUUCUAUGUCUCAUGUCUUUCUAUGGCUUCCACAAUAUGUUUCCAAUCAUCAUAGCCUUCCAUCCAAAUAUUUUGUAUAUUUUUAGAUGCCCUAUUUGCGAAUAACCAACAUGGUUCACAAUAUGCUUUUUGAAGCAAUAGAGAAUAGGACAGCCAUGUACGUUCUAACUUUACGCCAGAUUUAGAAACAGUGUAAUAAUAUUUAUCUAAGAGAGAGCCCUUAAAAAGGGGCCUUUUGGUUUACAGUGUCCGUUUUCGAUCACAAACCGUUUUACUUGAUCAUUGAGUUCUUUAAAGUUACCUUUAUCAGUAACAUGCGGUAAAGAUUUUAAUUUUUCUAUGUCCAAACAUGAUUCAUUUAAAGAUUUGCUCGUACCUGGUUGUGGUUGCUCUGAAUCUAAAUAUUCACUGUUAUGGGGCUCUACGAUAUUGCCACUUAUGUCAUCAUUUUCUGCCUUUCCGUCGCGCUGUUCAUUUGAUUCUUCUUGUAUACUAUCUUGAUUAUUAAAGUACUGACUUAUUUUAGGUAACUUUUUAUUUUGUUCUUUAGACUCCUUCUUUCGCUUCCACUCUGAUACUUUCUAGAACAAAACCGCAAAAAGUUUGUAAUAAUACUAUAGUUUUUAUUUAUUGAAAAAUCUACUUAAUUGCUAACAAAUGCCAAAAAAGCGACCGUAAAAAUGUUUAUAACGAAAGUCCACCGAUUGUUCAAAGUUCAAUUCAAGUGUCAAAAUUUGUAAGUUUUGAAAGAACGAUGAACAUAGGUACCGAAAUAGUUUUGGUGGUUACGAAUGUCAAAAUAGUGAAAUGAUUUUGAAAUGCGCAAUGAGAAUCAUUUAUGGUAUUCAGAGUUUACUUUUAAAGUUAAUAGGUAGCAACUUUAACAAUGUAACACAUUCAAACUGUGAGCAACCCUUCAAACAGCUGAUUCGAACUGUCAAAAAUUGUGUAGCUACAAAAAUAUUGACAUGUAAGCAAUGCCUCGCAGAAGUGGAAAAGAAAAAUUACUAAACGGACUGUGCUUAAAAAACAUGUUGGAAUUGCUGCUCCAAGAUUCAAGUAGGUGCACAUUUCUAUAUUCAUAUAACUUUUGUAAUUUUGCGCAUUGAUUUAGGCAGUGAAGAUGAGGACUGCGAUAUUCUAAUGGACUUUAAUGUUAGUGCAGCAAUAAUUUUGUCCUCAAGAAGAUGCAGCGACGUAAAUGUGCCAAAAUCUACUAAUUGGAUUGACACAAUCCUUCCCAACUUCGAUAACAAUCGUAUGCGGCAAAUGUUAUGACUGGAAACUCCGGAAUUUCAACAUAUUUUAAGCUUAAUCAAAGAAGAUACUGCUUUUAAAAAUAAAAAUUCGGUUCCUCAAAUGCCAGUGGAAUUGCAAUUAAAGAUCGCACUUUUCCGUUUUGGUUCUAGUGGGGAUAGUGCAUCCAUCAGAAAGGUUGCAAACUUGUUUGGAGUUGGAGAUGGAGGAACUGUGAUUACAGUUACAGACCGCAUUAUUUCUGCCAUCGUAAAUUUGAAAUCUAAGUUUUUGUGUUGGCCAACUAGGGAAGAAAGACGCAAACUUUGUCGGAAUCUCCAAUUGAGGAUCAUGAAUUCUAUUUUUCCAGGAAAAACCAGUAUUCCAUGAAAAUGCAAAUAGUGUGCGACUAUUCUUUGAGAAUUCGACAAGCAACAAUUGGAUAUAGGGGCAGUGUACAUGAUACUAAAAUUUUUGCAGAAUCAGCUAUUGGACGAGCACCUGGAAAUUAUUUUUGAGAAAGGCAAUGGAUAGCCGGUGAUUCUGCGUAUCCCUUAAAUAGAAAUAUAAUUAUACCUUUUCGGCAAAAUAGCAACGAACUGUCGCAAUAUAAAAGGGAUAGGUUCAACAAAUACUUUUCUAAAUAUCGAGUACGAGUAGAAAAUUGUUUCGGCAAAUUAAAAGAAAGAUUUAGCAGCUUAAAAGAGCUUCGGUUUCGAUUGUCCAACGAAAAUAAUUACAAGAGCUGUUGCAGAUGGAUUUUAGCCUGCAGCAUUUUGCAUAAUAUAUUGCAAGACUUUAACAAUGACGACGAUAAUAGCUGUGAUGGGGAAGAAAUUGAUUAUCCUCCAGAAAUUUAUGAACAACACGAAUUACGAAUUGCAUUGGCUGAAUUUAUUAAUAAUAGGAGCUCCCAAUAAAAGUUUCUAAGUGAUUUUUUUUUUAAUUUUUAGAACUAAAUGUGUUUUUUUUAACCAAAUACCAUUUAGUUGUAAAGACAAUUAUCUUAAUAUUUAAAGGAAGAGUUCCAAUGUAAUUAAUAAAUAGAGUAGUAAUUUUUGUUUAUAUCAUAUUCGUAGUGCUUUCUUGGUGUAUCCUCGGAAUGGGUUGAAAAUUGUAAAGUACAGAAAAUAAAAACCGCCAAAGAAUAUGUAGCAGUCUUUCCGACGACGUGUUUUUCUUUACGCUUGAUUUGCAAAACAGGUUUUUAUCAACACAGGCUUUAGUUAUUUAAAUUGAAUUAGUUUCGUAUAGAAAUCUAAACUUUACAAAUUUUCAGCGAAAUAUUCAACUUUUUAGUCGACAUUUUUAGCCUUUUUGGUAUGCAGUUCAAUAGCCUAUUAAAUUUUAUUGAUAUAAGAGAUGUUUAAUAUUUUUCUAAUGAAGGUGUUAUACAUGUUUUCUUCAUAUAACGCGAUUUAUUUUCUAUAUGGAAGAAAAUACUUAGCACCGCGAGAUUUUUAUUGCAUUAUUUUCAUUUUUUCCAUUUCAAUUCUUUCUUUCAUUUCCAGUUCUUUCAUAGCUAUUCUCUCCCUCAUUUGAAUUUCCAUAACUUGAAUUUCUCUGUCAGCUUUUUUUCUAGCAACUCUUUUUCAAAUUUUUCUUUAUCAAACAAAAAUUGUUGCUCUUUUAGCAUUAAUUCAUUUUCCCUCAUCUUAAAUUCCUUCUCGAUUCUGUCUUUUUUUUGCAUCCAAUAAGCUGGAGUGUACAUCGAGAACGUCUGAUAGGGCUGUACGCGAAUAUAUACCCUUUCGGACAGCCUUCGACGUAGAAGGGGUGACCAGAGACUCGGGUAAUGCCACGAUUUCCUCGACGGUUAUAUCAGAGGACGUGGCAACUUCUGGUGAACCAGUACAUGCAAUGUCCUCGGUAUCCAAUAUAAGGCAGUUUGAAGUGAGCUCCCUAUAGCCAAAAAUGUCUAAUGUUGGGCCGUUGGUUUCUCUAGUGGCCUGUUGUCCCUCAAAAAGUUGAUUAAACUUUCAUUUUCGUUGUCGGUCCACUUUCUGUAGGGAGCCUUUCGAACACGCUUAUGUACAUACAACCUGCAAUAGAACAAUUAUAGGCAGAAUAUUUUCAUAUUUAUAUUUAAAAAUAUUGCGAAUACCUUCUGUAUUUCUGUGUUGCUUUCCAUUUUUUCUAAACGCGAAUAGUCAGCUGAAGUUGCCAGUUUAGCAGGAAACAAAAACACGAAGUAAAGUAGAGUAAUUUUGCCUAAGACUGUUAUUUCGAACUUGUAUAGGAAACAACAACAAGCAAAGUUACCACGUGGUAAAAUGUUUUGAAGUUAACAGAUGGCAAAAUUAACACAUCAGAUAAUAAAGAACUGUGAACACCCUAAUUAUUUUAAAUAAUAAUUUCGUAACUUGUGAUUUCAAACUUUACUACCGAUACCUACCGACGAUGUAAAUGAUUAAUUUUAUGGGUAGAUUAAAAAUUAAAAUAAUUGUAAUAGUAUAAAUUAUUUUAAAUAUUAGAAUAAAAUUCUUACCGAGUAGACAUUGUCUACCUAUUUUCACAAUUAACUAAUUAAAUAUAUCCUCACUUGCAACAAACAACCAAUUCUUACAACAAUAAACUGCUAAUUGCUUGGUGAGUUCUUGCGUAAUACAAUAGUGGAGUUUUUCAUAUUAUAUGUAUAUACAAACUCGAAUCGGGGAUUCUCCAAGCAUCAGCAAGUAUUACCAACAUAAAUUUUAAGCAGUGUUGCCGUUUGAGAAAUAAAAAAAUACACCAAACUCAUUUCAAAAUUGCGCUAAAUUUUAGCUGUGAAUUUUUAAUGGCAAUAGGAGAAGAUGUGUUUUUAUGUGAAUUUAUUUAACCAUUAUUACAUUUAUCAAAAUCAACUAAAUUAAAUAACUGAAUAUCUUUCUGGUCAUCAUUACGUUCGGGUGCGGUUGGUGUGCCUUCUCCAGAUGCCGUUUCUUUUUUUACAGUUUUAGUCAUUUUCUUCAAACCGUGUUCAGGCAACAUAAAAGUGUGGCAAUUUUUCUUAAGAACUUUUAACUGAUGACGUAUCAUUAUAAUUGAACUCUGUUAGUAAAAUCAGAGACAGUCAUAACAUAACACUUUAAUGUAAAAAAGAGACAAAACAUUAAACGCAUCAAUAACAUUGUGAUCGGGGAAUACUAAAUCCUUUGGGGAAUUCCCAGCUCGUUAUUUUCCUAACGUUUUACGGCUAUAGCAAUUAACUUAUUGGCUUAAAUUUACGCUAUUUUUUAGCGCAUUGUAUUGAGAAAAAAAAGCGCUGAAGAGUCUAGAAUUGCGCUAUCUAGCGCGAAAUGCGCUAAAACGGCAAAACUGAUUUUAAUGUCGGCAGUAUACCUAGUCUCAGCGAGACACCCUGUGACAUGCCCAGUGGAUAUAAAUGUAAACCAAUAUACACAUUUUUGAGGUAUGUUUGUCCACACAUGUUUCCGAAAUUAUUACGAGUAAUUGGAUUUUGACCAUUCUUUCUAAAACUGGGUUAAAUUUUUUUUUUUACUAAUGCAUUGAAAGUUUAAUACCUAGGUAUAUUUUUUUUAGUUGUGUAUGCAACUAAGAAGGUAACAAAUAAAUUAAAGACAAAACUUUUUUUUUUACUUAAGUAAUGUGUAUGUGUAAUAAUAAAUGUUGGGAAUUGAGAUUUCCUCUGACCGGGGGCUCCUUCGGGCUGAGUGCCCGUGGCAUUUUGCCGACUUGCCACCCUAUAGUUACGCCACUGUAUGAGCCAAAAUAUUAUUAGCAAAAGCCGCUUACUUCAUUGGCGUCUGAUUUCAUUCACAGAAUUCAAGAGUUUAACUUUAUCCAUAAACUCUAACAAUUAUACUCUUUAUUACUAUGAGGGGUGUUUAUUCUUUGACCCUGCGGAAUCUUAUGUGACUGCAUCAAUUUCUUCAGAACGUGUGGACUGUUUCGCUGUACAUGAAAGAAAUGACAAGUGAGUGAUUUGCGUAUAUUUCCGGUUGAAAUGUUGCCAGUGUUGAUUAACCCUUGUCGUUUAUUUCCCCAGCCUUUGCACAUUUCGUAUUAUUUAAGCGUGUUUUCGAAUGUUUAAAUAAAUGAAUUAAAAAGUUUAACAGAAAAGUAUUUAGGGAUCAUGAAUAAUAUUGACAAGUUCCUCCCACAUAGCAAUAGGCACUUGAACGCACAACCACGAGGAUAAUGGAUGUUGGAUUCUUUUAAUUUGUUGUUGAUAAGCAUAAUACAUAUUUAGUUUUGAAAUACUUUGAAAUUAAAGAAUCAAAAAUCAAAUUUCGUAUAGAUAUCUCAUAAAAGAAAAUAGCUUUCCAUACAAGACCUUGCUUUUGAUUUGUAGUGGUCCGAUUUACCAUAAGCAAUUUCUAUGGCGAUCGCAUCCUUGCCUUCAGAACAGUCUAUCUAAAAUUUCAUAAAAAUACCUCAUCAAAUAAAAAAUUUACCCUACAAGGACUUAAGUUUGAGCGUUCAGUUUGUAUGGCAUCUAUAUGGUAUAGUAAUUCGAUGUCGGCGGUUACGACAAAUGAUCAGUUCCUUGGGAAUAAAAGGACAUGUGCAAAAUCUCAUAUUAAUAUCUCAACAACUGCUGUACUAGUAGUUUGCAUACAAAUAGACGGACAUGGCUAAAUUGAUGCAGCUCGCCACUCUGAUCGUUUAUAUACCAUAUUCUUUGUAGGUUAUUACAAACUUCAUGACAAAUUUAAUAUAAAACAAGUAAGGAAGUCACCGAACAUUUUAUUCUCCCGCAUGAUAAAGUGAUAAUCGGGAUUUCAUUAUCCGUCAUUUACAUAUUUUUUAUUUUGCUGUAAAAUUAAUUAGAUUAGAUCAAUUUGUGUACUUUGAGUAUUGACUUGUAUUUUCAUUUCCUAAUGUAUAUAUUAUACAGAGAAGGCAUCAGAUGGAAUUCAAAAUAGCGUUAUAUUGGAAGAAGGCGUGGUUGUGAACCGAUUUCACCCAUAUUUCGUACAUGUCAUCAGGGUCUUAAGAAAAUAUCAUAUACCGAAAUUCAUUGAAUUCGGUAGAGUAGUUCCUGAGAUAUGGUUCUUGGUCUAUAAGUGGGCGAGGCCACACCCAUUUUCAAUUUAAAAAAAAAAAACCUGGGUGCAGCUUCCUUCUGUUACUUCUUCCGUAAAAUUUAGUGUUUCUGACGUUUUUUGUUAGUCGGUUAACGCACUUUUAGUGAUUUUCAACAUAACCUUUGUAUGGGAGGUGGGCGUGGUUAUUAUCCGAUUUCCUCCCUUUUUGAACUGUAUAUGGAAAUGCCUGGAGGAAACGACUCUAUAGAGUUUGGUUGACAUAGCUAUAGCAGUUUCCGAGAUAUGUACAAAAAACUUAGUAGGGAGCGGGGCCACGCCCACUUUUCCAAAAAAAUUACUUCCAAAUCUGCCCCACCCCAAUGCGAUCCUUUGUGCCAAAUUUCACUUUAAUAUCUUUAUUUAUGGCUUAGUUAUGACACUUUAUAGGUUUUCGGUUUUCGCCAUUUUGUGGGCGAGUCAGUGGGCCGAUUUUGCCCAUCUUCGAACAUUCUAACCUUCUUAUGGAGCCAAGAAAUACGUGUACCAAGUUUCAAUAACAUAAGAUGCGUACAGAUAAACCUGCAGCACUCGAAGAGUGCUACAGCGAAUCUGACAACCCUCGUGAACGAGGGGGUCAUCGACAUCAGCCUAGUACAGGAGCCCUGGGUCAAUGAAGAUACCAUUAAAGGGCUAAACAGCAGCAACCAUAACCUGUUUUACACACGGAACAGAGCACAGCAGAUAUCACAGUGGUAAAGAUGGAACAGAAGGAAAUCCCCUUCUUUUCGGUCUCGGCCUACUUGGCCCAUGACGAAGACAUACCAACGGCCCCGCUCACCAGACUAGUAGAGGAGAACAGGAAGGAGGAUGUCCUAAUAGGGUGUGAUGCGAACGCAAGGCACACCGAAUGGGGUAGCUCCAGUAUAAACACCAGAGGUCAACGUCUGUUCUAUGGAGAAAUUUUGAAAUAUGUAGCUCCAGCAAUGCUUUUCUUUCUUCGAGGCGGCUUCUCCGACAACACUAUCAACAACAAAGUUGUAAUUUUGUAAAAUUAAAUAGUUAAGUUGCAGUAACCCAGUCGCACGUCGGGAGUAAGCGCAAUCAAUCAUAUUGUCUUUGACAACCACAGUCAAAAGCGAUAAAGAACAGCAUUGAAGUUGUCUGCAAGAUCAACAUCGAUAGCCGCAUUUUCGGUGUUAAGCACCUGAUUGCUGUUGGAUGCCGCAAAGCAACUUCGACGAACUGAACGAAUCGUGUAGCCGUCAGCAAAUGCAUACAGAAACAUAUUCAAAUUCGUAUAUAACAAGUAAGGAAGAGCUAAAUUCGAGUGUAACCGAACAUUUCAUACUCUUGCAACUUGCAAGGAUCAAAGACUUUAUAUUAAAAAGAAAAAUAAAAGAAUUCAACACUCAAUAUUCGACGAAAUGGUGACUGGAUUAGGUCAAAUUUGGUAUUUUAUUAAGUUAUAUUAUUGGUUAUAGAUUCAAUUAGUUUUACUGCAAUAAUUUUCUUCGUGUCAGCUAAUUUGAUUAAAAUCUAGUUCAAGUUUUUACCCAAUUUUAUCCAUUUAAAGCACAAUGAUGCACUGUUAGACUCUGUUAAAUUUAUUAAAAUAACUUAAAUAUUUGCUGAUAACUAUAUGUACAUAAUAUUAAGCAAGUCGGAAGUCCUAAAAUCUUUGUAUGAGGUUUAUGGCGGCUAAGGGAAUUAGUGAACCUCCCUUAAUUUCAAUUUUAUACCACACACCUUGAUCAAUAGUUUCGAUAAAAAGUCAGCCAAGGGUUCUAGAGCCACAUUUCCAGUAUCUGAGGCUGGAAUAAUUUUGAUCUGACUUUGUCAAUUUUUUGACUUGAGAUAAUAUACCUCAAAGGCAAUAUUCGUGAAAAGUUGUUUCCCUAUACAUAUAUUGGGUAGUCGACAAAGUCUUUUCGUUUCCAGUGCUACCAAUUACAUUGUGUCAUACCAUAUAGUGUUGCAAAGAUGAGUUUUAAGCUUCAUUUAACCAAAAAAUGAUUAAAUUCGGGGAAGUUAAAAAAAGUUACAGCUGUUCAAAAAUUAGUGAAAAUAAUGAAGAAAUUCGCUAUAUUUUGAAAUUUUUAUAUAAAAAAGGAAAGAAUGCCACGCAAGCACCCAAUGUAAUUUAUGAAGUUGACGGAAACGAUGCGGUGUCAGUUCGUGUAGCACAACAAUGAUCCGCUCGCUUCCGUUCUGGAAAUUUCGAUUUACACUGAUGAAAGUUUUACACUGAUGGCAUAAUGUUUCUAGCGGAAAAAUGGAAAAAAGAAAUCGACCAAAAUGACACAUAUUUGUUUAUUUAUUUAUUAUUAUAAAUAAAAAAAAAAACAAUUUGAAGUUUGAUUAGAAAGUCUGAUUUCGCCCAUUUUCGCACUGUGAUAUGGUAAAAAUAAUACUAUGUACCAAAUAUGGUUGAAAUUGGUCGAGUGGAUACCGAGAUAUGUAUGUGAUUUCACCUAAACAUGAGCGGUGCCAUUCCCGUUGUUCAAUUUUCCCAUCAGUCACCUCGUACCAUCCCGGAUAUAAAAUUUAAAGUCUCUGAGGCACUUAGUUGCAUUGUCGCAAGAGGUAUCGAAAUGAUUUGUACUGUGCAAAUUUGGGUAAUAUAGCUUCAAUGGUUUGGGUUAAAUACAUUAAACCUAAACCAUCGUGACGAUAUCUCAAUUUUACUCAAUUUACAGCAUACUCAAACAGACGGUCACUCGGAAUUCAACUCAUCUCGGUAUCUUGACUAUAGAAAAAUGACUGUACAUUUGUGAAUUUCAUCACCGUUAGAUGGCUGAACGAACGUGCGUACGCGUGUCAACUACGACCCUUGCGGAAAUCUCAAUUUCCUUGUCUGAUUCAAAAGCAGUUCGACUACAAAAAGAGCACAUCAAAGUCGAAAGGGCGCAGCUGCAAAGACAUAUAUACAAGAAGUGAUGUGAUUCAACCAUUCAACACCAACAAUCGUCACUUCCAUCGCCAUUGUGCCCACAACCAUUAUCAUUACUCCCACCAUCAAUCCACAUAAUCAUAAGCAGCAUCAUCGCAGCGAGGGACGACUUUAACCUGCUGCACUAUAGCCAACAGCACUAGCACCACGCCAUGCGGCACGUUUUUAGGAUUUUUUUUGGCCUUGGCAUCGAAAAUACUAUACGUCAGCUAUCACUUAUGAAUAUAUGUACAUUUGUAUAUUCUUACCGCCAAACGCUUGCGGAAACAUGUCGGGUGCACUAGAGCGAAGUGAUUUUAUUUUUUACUGGUUGCAAUAAAAAAGGUGGGCGCUACGAUGUAAUUAUACUAUAUUGGCAUCACACAAUUUUAGUAACUUA